This 1104-nucleotide ribosomal RNA is filed under the name Triticum aestivum (bread wheat). Its description in RNAcentral is "partial small subunit ribosomal RNA". Lineage: Eukaryota; Viridiplantae; Streptophyta; Magnoliopsida; Poales; Poaceae. The record is from RNAcentral.
AUGGCGACCUCCUCGCGUCUCGGCGGUGCCCGCCUCCCCUCCGGAUCCACAUCCUCCAUCAUUGCCGGGGCCGUGAGCGGCUACCACUUGCUCAAGGUCGACGGCUACUCGCGCACCAAGGAGCUCCCCAAUGGCGAGUGGAUCGACUCUUGCCCGUUCCAGGUGGGAGGCCGCACAUGGCAUCUUCGUUACUAUCCCAACGGGGACAAGUCCGAGUACAUCGAUUACAUAUCCCUCUUUCUCACACUCGAUGAUACCGUAGCCAAGGGCGAGACCGUGAAGGCACAAGUUAAGUUCAGCUUAAUCGACCAAGACGGGAAGCCGGUGCCGCUGCAUACCUUGACUACCAAGAUCAGAGACUUUUUGGUGGGUAAAAGUUGGGGAUUCCAGAAGUUUAUGAAAACGGAGGAAUUGGAGAAAUCAGAGCAUCUCAAGGACGAUUCCUUCACUGUAAAGGUCGAUGUCGCUAUGAUGAGCGAGUUCCAUGCGCAGGAGACACCAUCCAUCCCGGUGCCACCGUCUGACUUGCACCAGCAUUUGGGGAUUCUCCUGUCGAGCAAGGCGGGCGUCGAUGUCGAAUUCCGAGUCGGCGGGGAGACAUUUUCGGCCCACCGGUUGGUGCUAGCGGCGCGGUCUCCAGUCUUCAGAGCAGAAUUCUUCGGUUCGAUGAAGGAGGGAACCACCACUGAGGCCAUACCCAUAGAUGACAUGGAGGCGCAAGUGUUUAAUGCUCUGCUUACUUUCAUGUACACUGAUACGUUGCCAGAUAUGAAGCAACAAGAAGAAUCUGCCAUGGCUCAGCAUUUGCUUGUUGCAGCAGAUAGGUAUGAUUUGGAGAGGCUGAAGCUGAUUUGUGCAGAUAAGUUGUGCAAGCAUAUCGAUACUAGCUCCGUGGCGACCAUCUUGGCAUUGGCGGAGCAGCACCACUGCCAGGAGCUUAAGGCAGCAUGCUUGGUGUUCCUCAGCUCACCGACGAAUCUGGAUGCAGCCAUGGAGUCUGAAGGCUUCGACCUUUUAACCAAGAGCUGCCCUGGUGUUAUGAAGGAUUUCCUCGUGUCCCAGGUUGUUCCUAGUUUACUUGGGAAAAGAAAAUCAAAGGCAUGA